UUAAAGAAAGCGUAACAGCUCACUCAUCAAGCGACCCUGCGCCGAAAAUGUAACGGGGCUUAAGAUACGUACCGAAGCUAUGGACUUUUUAAAGUGGUAGGAGAGCAUUGUGUUUACCGAUGAAGGUGUACCGCGAGGAGCACUGGAGGUCCCACAAGAGCUGAUGAUGGCAUGAGUAGCGAUAAGGAAUGUGAGAAUCAUUCCCGCCGAAAAUCUAAGGGUUCCUGGGCCAGGUGACUCCGCCCAGGGUUAGUCGGAUCCUAAGGUGAGGCCGAAAGGCGUAAUCGAUGGAU
This 293-nucleotide ribosomal RNA is filed under the name Pseudo-nitzschia fraudulenta. Its description in RNAcentral is "partial Bacterial large subunit ribosomal RNA". It matches the Rfam family "Bacterial large subunit ribosomal RNA", at positions 1123 to 1423 of the family's 2925-position model. Lineage: Eukaryota; Bacillariophyta; Bacillariophyceae; Bacillariales; Bacillariaceae. The record is from RNAcentral.